This is a long non-coding RNA of Mytilus californianus (California mussel), 1703 nucleotides long. RefSeq lists it as uncharacterized. The transcript has 2 exons. The record is from RefSeq and is a predicted model, not a curated record. Lineage: Eukaryota; Metazoa; Mollusca; Bivalvia; Mytilida; Mytilidae.
AGAUAAUACGAAAGUAAUUAAUAUUAAUCAUUUUAUUCGUUUUUGUCUGAGAUGAUUGUGAUUAUUUAAAUCAUCUUAAUUAAAUGUAACUAUGCUCAUUUGUUUUCUUGUUAACACUAUAUAUUCCGUUUAUCUCGUAAAUGAGCUCCAUGCUUGUCAAAUCAAGUUGUUGUUAUUGUUAUUGAAUGAAAUAAAACUAGAGAUCUGAUUGGUCGAUGUCAAGGUCAUUUCAAGAUGGUUUCCCUUGUGUUUUUAGUCAGGCUUUGGUGUUACAGGCUGCUACCUGUGCUUUGAUUUAGUUCAAUGUGCUUCAAAUAAUAUUGAGAUUAAAACUUUAACAAUUAUUUUCUAAAGGACGGCAUUAUUUAACUUCCAAAGUCGCAUAUUUUUGUAAAAUAUUAAGUCCGAAUUUGUGACGCGUCUCACACCGUAAUUAUUUUUGAUUUACAAGGACUUUUCAACUUCCGUGAAAAAUACAACUUUUUCGAUGUUUCUUUUUAUGAAUUUUUCAUAUUUAAACUUCUAGAAUCAUUUCUAUGCGUUUCCUUCAGCAACUUGAUGCUGGUAAACGACUUUUCCAUGAAAAUACUGCAAAAAGAAAUCGCAUGAUACGAAAAGAAGCUUGAUUACAACCUUUGGCAAUGGCUAAUACUAGAAGAGGCAAGGCAUACAUGUACAUGUACAAUACAUGAUUCUCUGUAGCACCUGGAUUAUCCACAAUAAUUCCAUAACAGCAAUGAAACUCUAGACUACUAUGAUGUUAUGUACAUGUAUAUCUACAUAUAUGAUCAAUGUUGAAGAUUGUUUAUGCCAGGUCUCAUCAUGUUGACUAGUCCGACAAGUUUUGGUUCAGCUUUCUGACAGGAAUAAUUAUAAACUUGCCAGCAGUAACAACACAUGAAUAUUAGUUAUUAUUAAGUGCCCCUAUCGGUCUAGCAAUUUUUAUUAUUGUGCACUAAGAAGUAUGCCUAGUAAUCCAAAACUUUUUGCAUGAAGUUAUUUAAAGAUAGUUGGAAUUCAUGAUAUUGAUGCAUUGUGCAGAAACAUGAAAUAUUUUAGUUUGUAUUCUUAACAAUCCAAGAGUAAGGUUAAAUUGUAUCAAGGAGAAUUACUUAUUACAAUAAUUACGCAGUAGUAUUUUGAUUGUGGAUUUUUUUCAAUUUUAUUAUUUACUGAAUGCAUAUUUGUCACUUGUUCAAACGUAAGUUUAAUUUGAAUUGAAUGCGAACCAAGUUCACACAAUAUUCUUUUUUUCAUUUUGAAUUGAAUUCAAAUCUAAUGCGAAUCGAAUUCGCUAAUAGCAUUCACACACUCUUCUUUUUUUAAUUCGAAUCUAAUUCAAAUUGGCUAAUUUGCAUUAUCCAAAUCUCAUUAGAAAUACCUUUUUGAGUUAAUUCGAUUAAACUUUGGUGUGAACACUUUCUAAAUUGUAAUUCAAAUUAAACUAUAAUAGAUUAAUUGAUAAAUUGAAUUAAAAGUUAACGUCAUUUGGACAGUAAAGCAAUUUUGACGCGUAUUGCAAUUUGAAGUAGAAUUUACAUUUGGACAUUAACCAUGUUAAACUUUUCGAAUGGGUAUUAAACUAUAAAUUCAAACCAGUUAAUGCGAAUCGAAUUCGAAUUAUGUGUGAACACAGCAUUAAUAUAUCUAAGAAAUGAGGAAUAUAAAAUUAUUAAAAAAAGAUGGCCAAAUAUUUGUAUUAA